UGUUUGUCACCCAACAAGCUGACACUGCUGGUAGGUUAUGUGUUUGAGUUAAACCUAUAGAGAGGCCCUGUCCUUUGAUUAUAAAUCAAAUCUGUCAGCUAGGGAGUGUGUAGUCGCUGUUUUUAAGGACUGAUUCUGGAGCAGCAUCAUGGAGCCUCCUCCAAAGCUGCCAGUGUUGAAAAGACAUCUUAUCUAAAUAAGAUAUAAGAUCCUCCAGAUUUAAGCUAAGAGCACAAGUCAUUUCAAUUCAGUCAGUUUAUUUAUUCUUCUUAUUUCACAGCAGGUCCAUCAGCCUCCACCUCUACCUCCAUCACUGGUUUCAUCCAGGAAGCUGACAGUGCUGGUCUACCUGUGGCUACUGAAGUGGAGAGCAGUACCAUCGUGGUACCAGCACACCUGUCUCUCCAGUUUCUGCUGCUCCAGUGGAUCCAGCUGACUGGACAUCAGGACUUAACGACCAGUUACACGUUGAUGUGGUGAGCGGUAAAACCAGCACAGGUUGACAGAGACAUUUAGACUUUUCCAAAAAGACACUCAGACAGUAAAAGUCUUUUCUAUCAUUACAUGUUUAGAUCACUCAUAAAGAAGCAGGUUGAGAAAAUGAUGCUGUCAGCUGUUUCCUAGUUUUUGUCUCUUAAACUCUUGUUUGGCUGUUAUUAAAGAUUUAAGCUUUGGUCAUAAUCA
This is a long non-coding RNA of Micropterus salmoides (largemouth bass), 684 nucleotides long. RefSeq lists it as uncharacterized. The transcript has 2 exons. The record is from RefSeq and is a predicted model, not a curated record. NCBI's taxonomy places the organism in Eukaryota, Metazoa, Chordata, Actinopteri, Centrarchiformes, Centrarchidae.